CCUACGGGGGGCAGCAGUGGGGAAUCUUGCACAAUGGGGGAAACCCUGAUGCAGCGACGCCGCGUGAGUGAAGAAGUAAUUCGUUACGUAAAGCUCUAUCAGCAGGGAAGAAACACUGACCUUACGGUCAGCAGACGGUACCUGAGUAAGAAGCCCCGGCUAACUACGUGCCAGCAGCCGCGGUAAUACGUAGGGGGCAAGCGUUAUCCGGAUUUACUGGGUGUAAAGGGAGCGUAGACGGUGCGCCAAGUCUGGAGGGAAAUGCCGCAGCUUAACUGCUGAACUGCUUUGGAAACUGGCGAACUAGAGUGCGGGAGGGGUAAGCUGAAUUCCUAGUGUAGCGGUGAAAUGCGUAGAUAUUAGGAGGAACACCGGUGGCGAAGGCGGCUUACUGGACCGUAACUGACGUUGAGGCUCGAAAGCGUGGGGAGCAAACAGGAUUAGAUACCCCUGUAGUC
Molecule: ribosomal RNA, 458 nt
Filed under: uncultured bacterium
Lineage: Bacteria
Description: partial 16S ribosomal RNA
Rfam family: Bacterial small subunit ribosomal RNA
Source: RNAcentral